Molecule: ribosomal RNA, 480 nt
Filed under: uncultured bacterium
Lineage: Bacteria
Description: partial 16S ribosomal RNA
Rfam family: Bacterial small subunit ribosomal RNA
Source: RNAcentral
GACGAACGUUGGCGGCGUGCUUAAACAUGCAAGUCAACUGAAGCAGUGGUAGCAAUAUCGCUGUGGAGGUGGCGCACGGGUGAGUAACACGUAGGUAAUCUGCCUUCAGGUCUGGCAUAACUCCGGGAAACCGGGGCUAAUAGCAGAUGAUGCAGCGGCUCGACAUCGAGACAGUUGUUAAAGCUAUGGCGCCUGAAGAUGAGCCUGCGUCUGAUUAGCUAGUUGGCGGGGUAACGGCCCACCAAGGCAACGAUCAGUAGCUGGUCUGAGAGGAUGAUCAGCCACACUGGAACUGAGACACGGUCCAGACUCCUACGGGAGGCAGCAGUAAGGAGUAUUGCUCAAUGGGAGAAAUCCUGAAGCAGCAACGCCGCGUGAGGGACGAAGGGCUUUUGCUUGUAAACCUCUGUAGUGAGAGAAAAAAAUCCCAAUCUUUGGGACAUGAUGGUAUCUCAAAAGUAAGCCCCGGCUAACUACGUG